CAUUACAGAAUCGGUGACGCUCGCGUCCCAUUCUCACCCUUUGUAUACGAAACUUCGGUUGCCUUGGCCACUUGUGGCCAAAGGAUCCAAACCCUUGAAUCACUGCAGUCUGAGUAUGAUACAAUCGUUAAAACUUUCAACAACGGAUCUCUUGGUUCUGGCAUCGAUGAAGAACGCAGCGAAAUGCGAUAAGUAAUGUGAAUUGCAGAAUUCAGUGAAUCAUCGAAUCUUUGAACGCACAUUGCGCCCUCCGGUAUUCCGGGGGGCAUGCCUGUUCGAGCGUCAUUACAACCCUCAAGCUCNGCUUGGUAUUGGCCCCGCCCCUCCCGGCGCGGCCCAAAAUCAGUGGCGGCUCCGUCCAGUCUCAAGCGUAGUACUACUCGCCGCUUGUUAGGCUCGGGCGACAGCCUGCCAGCGAACCCUUUUUUUCAAUGGUUGAC
Molecule: ribosomal RNA, 440 nt
Filed under: Rhytisma salicinum
Lineage: Eukaryota; Fungi; Ascomycota; Leotiomycetes; Rhytismatales; Rhytismataceae
Description: eukaryotic LSU rRNA
Rfam family: 5.8S ribosomal RNA (bases 132-285)
Source: RNAcentral